UACGUAGGGGGCGAGCGUUGUCCGAAGUUACUGGGCGUAAAGCGCGCGUAGGCGGGCCGUUAAGUGGGAGGUGAAAGGCCGGGGCUCAACCCCGUGCAGUGCCUCCCAUACUGGCGGUCUUGAGGGCGGUAGGGAGAAGCGGAAUGGCUGGUGUAGCGGUGAAAUGCGUAGAUAUCAGUCGGAACACCGGUGGCGAAGGCGGCUUCUUGGGCCGUUCCUGACGCUGAGGCGCGAAAGCUGGGGGAGCGAACGGG
Molecule: ribosomal RNA, 254 nt
Filed under: uncultured bacterium
Lineage: Bacteria
Description: partial 16S ribosomal RNA
Rfam family: Bacterial small subunit ribosomal RNA
Source: RNAcentral